RNAcentral lists this transfer RNA (75 nucleotides) under Firmicutes bacterium ADurb.Bin080. RNAcentral's name for it is "tRNA-Asp". It matches the Rfam family "tRNA". Rfam says of the family: Transfer RNA (tRNA) molecules are approximately 80 nucleotides in length. The record is from RNAcentral. Lineage: Bacteria; Bacillati; Bacillota.
GGAUCCGUAGCGAAAUUGGUUAUCGCGCCUCCCUGUCACGGAGGAGACUGCCGGUUCGAGUCCGGUCGGGUCCGC